UACGUAGGGGGCGAGCGUUGUCCGGAUUCAUUGGGCGUAAAGAGCUCGUAGGCGGCUUGGCAAGUCGGAUGUGAAAACUCCAGGCUCAACCUGGAGCCGCCAUUCGAUACUGCCAUGGCUAGAGUCCGGUAGGGGAGUGUGGAAUUCCCGGUGUAGCGGUGAAAUGCGCAGAUAUCGGGAGGAACACCGAUGGCGAAGGCAGCACUCUGGGCCGGUACUGACGCUGAGGAGCGAAAGCGUGGGGAGCGAUCCGG
Molecule: ribosomal RNA, 254 nt
Filed under: uncultured bacterium
Lineage: Bacteria
Description: partial 16S ribosomal RNA
Rfam family: Bacterial small subunit ribosomal RNA
Source: RNAcentral